This 6502-nucleotide long non-coding RNA is filed under the name Sus scrofa (pig). RNAcentral's name for it is "lncRNA (ENSSSCG00000059557.1)". Lineage: Eukaryota; Metazoa; Chordata; Mammalia; Artiodactyla; Suidae. The record is from RNAcentral.
AUAUAGGAAGCUGGUCAAAAAUAUUAGUCUCUUCUCACUGACAAAUUUUAAUAUUCUUUUCUGAUAUUAUCAGAAUCAUCUCAGAUUUCUCUGAUUAUUCAUGAAUUGCAUAACUUUCCUGAUCUAUAGUGAUUCCUGCGUAAUCACAGAAUCAGAUUGAACUGGUUACUUUCAAUACCAAAAUACUGAGGAGUUUUCAGAAACAACAGAACAAAACUGCAAACCGUACAGCUGAAGCAUACGCAGGCUAGAAAAUUUUGACUUCAGGUAAGACCUGAAAGCAAAGUUUCUACAUGGAGCCUAAGGACCAAGGCAUGACUUGAAUCCUGGGAACCCUUCUGGAAAUGAAGGGUUCACUUCCCAGGAAUAUCAGGUACUAAAGCCCAUUUUGUGGUAACUUUCUAUAAAAGGCCAAGUUCCAAAGCCUUCCAAUUGGAACCUGCCUUGCCAGUAUUUCUUCUGCAUACCAACCCUCCUCCCCUAACUCAUAAAAGUUUGACAUAACUGUGGGUAGGGAGACAGAUCAGCGAUUUGCCUCCAGUCUCCUAGCCAUGUCAACAUCACAAUAAAGCUGUUUCUCUUCUCAAAAGCCAGUACUGUAGUAUUGAGUUCUAUGCAUAUCAGGUAGCCAGUCCUUGCUUAGCAACACCUACGUAUGCAUUUUUUCCCACAAGUUUCCAUUGGGACAUUAUGAAAUGUUUUACUCUUUGUGGAGUUUAUAUUGAUAUUUUACCAAAUUUGCUUGCACCUUAUUUCACUAGCUUUUUACUUUUAUUUUGUCAAUUUAUUUUUUUUUCCCUAUACAUAAAAAGAGACCCUGUUAACUUUGAAGGAAGAAAAAUAGGAAUUUGAAUGAGGACUCUUUCCUUCAGUACUUCUUUCUGAGCCCAUAUUUCCUUAUAUAUAAUUUAAAAUAAUGAUAGAAAUAGCAUCAAUCAAUGUUGAUCAUGUGCUUAUUUUGCAGUGGGUAUAGUCUAGUAAGAACUUUACAGAUGAUGAAAGGUCUAGUCAGUCAUUGUUAGAUCUUUGGCUUUUACUCUGUUUGAGACGGGAAGCCCUUAGAGCAGUUUAAGCUGUAAAGCGCCAUAACAAGACACUGGCUUCUGAGGAGCAAAUUGACCAAAGGUGCCAAGAACAGGAAGACCAUUAGGGUAGGAGGUGAUUUCAAAAAAUCUUUGCAAGUGAAGAUGGUGGUUUGCACCUGAGGCUGGCAGUAAAGAGGGGAGAACACUUCAGAUUAUGAUGGAUUCUGAAAAUGUAGUCUUUAGUAUUUGAUCAUAGAUUGGACAUAUGAUAUUAAAAAACAUGCAAUCAAUGAAGAUUUCUAUGUUUUUGAAUUGAAGGAUAGCAAGAAUAGACUUUUAUUGGGGAAUUUUGAGAGAAAGUCAUUUUGGUAAAAAUAUGAGUAUGGUUAUAGUCAUGUUAUUUUGAGAGACCUAUUAAAAUAUGUGUACAAAUAUAAAUGCAUAUACCCAUGUGUAUAAAUAUAUCUUUAAGAAAUUAUUCCAUAGUUAAAUAAAUGUCAAGUUAUUGUGCAAGACUGGAAAAUAAAACUGUAAAUACUUUAAUAAGUUGAUAAAUGGAGUUUUCAACAUAUACAGAGAUUGUUUAAAGAAAUAAAAAUGUUUGUUCAUUGCAACAAAAUAAGCAGAGCAUAAAUAUCUUUUCUUAAAGAAAUGCCACUCUAUGGGCAGUAUUUUCUUUGCUAAAAUCAAAAAAAUCUGUAAAAUCUAUUCCAUAGAAAUAAUACAUACAAAAGUCAUAUUUUGCUAGAUUUUUUUAAGAAAUUUUAUUUUCUAAAAUAUGUGAAUCUGCAGAGAAGUCCUUGGAACUGAAAUAGCUAGAGCUCUAGAAAUAAGUACUUUAAAGAUUUGCACAGCUGCAGAUACAGAAUCUGAGAAAACAAUACUGUAAUUAUUUAACCACAUCAAUGAGGCCUAUGACAUUUUACGUGUUAAGAAAACCUGACUCAGACUACCUGAAGAAACUCUCUAGCUUAUAAAGAAGAUUCACAGUGAUUCACGAAACCAAGCGAAAAAUGGCAGCUUUAUCUUAGGAGCACUAGGUUUUCUCUCAGUGCAUUUACUUUAUUCUCUUUUGCUCCCCAUAGACAACUUUUUCUUCUUUCUCCCUCAUGGAAUAAUAGUAUUUAUUAUGCAUAGUUUCAUCACUUACAAAGAUUGGUCUUUUCUCCAAUUAAUUGCACUAUUAUUAGGAGACAGGCUUUGAUCAGCCCUACUUCAGUCAAGUAUCUAUUCACUUAGAUUAGGAAGAGUUUAGUAUAAACACAAGGAUGUUCAUCCUUGCGUUGUGUCUGUGUCAUUCACAGAGAAAUGCUUUGAACAAAUUAUGCACUCAUAAGAAGAACAAGCAAGUACAGUGAUCCCCUAAGUAGCAAAUGAACUUAGAGUGAAAAGAGAAGUCAUCAGCAGAUAGUGUAGAGGCAAGAUUAAGACAAGGGAAAUAGUGAGAGAGAAAGAGAAAGAAUAUAUGAACCUGGCUAUUCUUAGUUAAGCGACUCACCAGUAAUGAAAUGGAAAGCAUUUGGCGCUGAGACUUGAAACCACACUGUAACUUCUCUGUAUAUCAUUUUCAUAUUGAAAUAUAUAUAUUUAUGCACAUAUGUACAUUUAUACAUUAUUAUACAUAGCUAAUGUUUAUUUACAUAUCUAUUAUGUCUAUAUGUAUACAUAUAAAAAUAUAGAGAUACUUAAAUAAAGUUGUUUUUUCAGGGAUUAACUCCAUUGCCAUGUUAAAAAAAUCAGAAUUAAUUGCAGCUGUUUAGAUGAAUAUGUAAGUAAGUCCAGUGGAAUUAACCAAUUUGAGAAGUCAAAAUCUUGAUGCUCAGAGUUUUGAACUGACAAGAAAAGCAUCACUAUUUGCAUAAUAGGGGCUAAUCAGGUCUUAUUUUACUUGAUAAUGACUAUCCACAAGAUUUAUAUUUCCUUUUAUCAAGCAGCUCCUGGUGGUUAUGAAAAGCAUUUGCACAAUAAGAAUAUUUUUGGUGGAGUGAAACCUUUCUGAAUCCCUAUUCCUAAGACACAGAAAAUUACAUUGGAUUUCUCAUUCAUUUAUACUGUCAAAUAAUCUUUUCUACUGGUUUCUCUCACUUUAUUAAUUUUUAAAAUCUAUUUUCUAUCUCUGAUGAACAGGAAAUGGAGGGGUUAAAAAAAACUAGUUUUGUUAUCUGAUUAAACUAGACCAUAGUCUAAUAAAGUGCUUACGAAUGAUAUCCUGCACUCAAGAUUUACUGAAAUACAACUUAUUCAGAAUAUACUAGUUUGAAUAAGUGACAUAAUAAAUACUAUUUUAUUAAUGUGUAUAACAUUAAAAUGCUUAAAACUAUUCUAUUACACAUAGAAAAACAUAAGUAUUUUAUUAAAUUGCAUUUUAAAUGAGAAAGUGAAGUAGACAUAUGAUUAAAUUUUACUUAUAUAGACAACAGUUUUGCAAAUUUUUCAUUGAUGGCAAAGCACAUAUGACAACUAAGCCCUUGUAUCUGUAAGUUCUCCAUGUGGAUAUGUUAUAGCUCCCUGUAACCUGUAUAUUUGCAUAAAGUGAUCUGGAUAACAGAUUAGGAGAAAUUACUUUUUGAGAAGUAAAAAGGCUUUUAUUUGGUUAAAAAUAAAUUAUUUGCUCUUCUGAAUGAAUCUGCGUAUUAAUAGCUUUCAUUAUUAUUGCCAUUCAGGCCUUAUGUACUAUUCAUUUCUAACUGCCUACAGCCUUUUCUUGAUUUAAAAAAAAAUGCAAACUACUUGUGAGAUAUUCUGUACUUGUCUGAUUGCCUUGAAAACUAUGAGGGAUUCUUUAGAAUAUAAGUCCUGAAUCAUUAAAGGAUUUAUUUUGCAUCUCAUGCAUUCAAAAGAUUUGGAAUUCAUUUUGAAAUUUUGCAAAGCACACUAGUAUCUCAUGGGUUUUUACUCCCCAAACCCAAAAUUCUCAACACUACCUGGGCUUGAGGUAUAUAAGAUAAAAGAUGAGCAAAUUCCUUUUGAGUAUAACUUUAAAUCACAUUAGUGAAGAAGCCAAUAUUUAUGUUAUGUUUAUAUUAUGUUUAAAAUACUAACUUAGCUCCUAUUCUGGUAUCAAGUUUAACCUGAAUUUUCUCCAUAUUGCUUUAAGUCCAGAAAAAUAUAAACUCGUACACAAUAAUUAACUUCUAAAAUUUAUGCUAGUGUACUGAAUCAUGAGCUUCUAGAAGUCAGAAUAAUUUGUUGCUUAUUAAAACUAUUUUACAAGGACUAGAUAGAGUGUAAGGCACAUGACAGAUGUUCAGUAAAUUUUUUUUGUUGUUGAAAGAAUGAAUACAGGGCAUUAAAAAACAACUUCUUGUUUUAGUCAUAGAAUCAAAGGUUAUUUGGAAUAUGUGUGAACAAACUGUGGUUCUAAAUUCCAAUUACUCCACUUGAGUUUCAUCUUGGAAAUUUCCAAACUAAGUAAAACUAUUCUAUCAUUUGUUUCUUUAAAUAAAUCUUAUUUGGGAUUGUUUAAUAUUUGCCUUAUAUGCUUUUCCAUAAUGUUUCUAAUGACAGUAUCAUUAUUCUGUUGAAUAUACAAAGAGUUUCUUUUUCACUUAUGAUGAAUGAGAAAAUAACCACAUUUGGAAAACAAUUGCUGCAAAAUAAAUUAUAUGCUAAUGUAUUGCAACUUAAUAAAAAGAAACAUUUCAAAUUCAGGCUUAGGAGUUUAAAUGUAAAAUACCAAUAUAAACAGAAUACCUGACUUUCAGGAUAGAUGCAUUCUUUCCAAUUCUCCCUUAAAAUUCCAAUGGAAAGAUAGGAAAGUGUGACAAUUGGAAACAUGAGAGAAAAUUAAGAUUGAUGUCCAGCCCCACGUAAGAAAGGAUUUCUAUUUUCUGCAAGCCCUGUGGAGUUGAACUGAAAAUCCCAGUCAGUGGCAAGAUGCCUGCUGGCAAGCCAUGAUGGUACUAACCAGCUGUAGAGAUAUAUUGAAUUAGGGGAAAACAGCCUUGUAAGAAUGACAUUUGCAUAUUGAUGUGUAAUCCAAUCAAGUUAACAACUCAGGUUUGGGCACAGACAGGAAGAAUCGAGGACAAAGAGCUGGAGGGACAUAAAUUCUGGGUACUGUUAUUGCUGUUUUGUUUUUCACUAACUUUCCUUUUGUAAAAAAGAGAAAGGAAUUUGGCACACACAGUACAGGUUAAAGAACCAUAUGCAUAUGUUAUGUAACAUAGUGUUGUAGGUCAAUUAUACUUCAACAACAAAAAAAACUCAGAAAAAGAGAUCAGAUUUGUGAUCACCAGAGGUAGGAGGUGGCUGGAAGGGGAAUUGGAAGAAAGUAGAGACACCCCCCCCAAAAAAAAAGAAUUUUGCACACAGAGAUUAGUUGGUGAAGUUUAAUUUUAGGUAUAUAUGUGCUCUUUAGAGGAUGACUAAUGAGAAAGAAAAUACAGUUGGACCCAUGGAAAUAUACUACUGUCUGAUAAAGAAGAAGCCCUACCUUGAAAGUGAAAAGAAAAGUGUACCUUUUAAAAAUGAUUUAUUGUAGUAAUAUUUUAGAAAUCUGUUUGGUAUUUUAAUAAGAUUCAGGAUGGCUCUGUGAAAUGGUAGCACAGAGAAAUAAGGAAAGAACAAUGUGUGAUAUAAAAAAGACCACAGAUCUUCUAAAUACAGAAACUAGCUAAAAGAAAAAAGUUUGGUUUUACAGUAGGCUGCAAAAAUUGAAGGGUCCAAGGAGAAGCUGUAAAUAAAUAAGCAAAAACAUUCCCCUAAAGGGAACAAAGUGCAGCAGCAGUAAUUUGGGACCUUGUCCUUAGGUCUGUUCUAUAAAUACAUCCAGCUGUUCAGUCUCUGGUUCCAUAGAUCAAAUCCUGAAUAGAUAAUAAGAUCAACUCUAAAUCUACAACUUUAUAUCUCUUGUUUCACAUGGACUCUCUGACUCAGUCAGUUACAGCUGAUGUGAAUGGUAUCCUAUGGAUUGCCAAAAGCUGGAGGCAGUGACAAAUAAUCUUAAAAGAUAUUGACUGAAAGGAAAGAGCAGUUGUCCUAGUUCAUCCCAACUCCUUGACAAUCAGACUAACUGUAGACAGCAAAGAGUAGAAUUAGUCUUGCAGGCAAAGAGUGGUAUGGAGCACACAGUGAUGUACUGUGAUGCAAACACAUGAUUUUUCAAAAAAAGAUGAAAAUAAUAAGGAACACAAAAAAUGGCGGUAGAGGUCUAUCAAAGUAUGUUAAGUAUUUCUGAGAAAGAAGAGUAGUGAUAAAAAAUACAUGCCUAGAGACUUGUACUAAACUUUAAAAAACCCCAACAAUCCAGAAUUCUUGUCGUGGCUCAGUAGUUGACAAAUAUGACUAGCAUCCAUGAGGACACAGGUUCGAUCCCUGGUCUCACUCAGUGGGUUAAGGAUCCAGCAUUGCCAUGAGCUGAGGUGUGGGUCACAGACCUGGUUUGGCUCCCAGGUUGCUGUGUAUGGUGUAGGCAGGAGGCUAUAGCUCUGAUUUCACCCCUAACCUGGGAACCUCCAUAUACCAUGAGUGUGGCC